Molecule: long non-coding RNA, 518 nt
Organism: Myotis lucifugus (little brown bat)
Lineage: Eukaryota; Metazoa; Chordata; Mammalia; Chiroptera; Vespertilionidae
Exons: 3
Source: RefSeq, a predicted model, not a curated record
GCCAGGGAAGAAGAACACCAAACUACUCCCGAGUCUACUCUCCCAGGAGGCUGGGAAACGGAGGCCACUCGUUUUCCUCAAACAUCAAGGCCAAGUUUCAGCUUCAUUCAGGGCAGGCUUGUUUAAUAUUCAAGUGUCCAGGCUGAAGUCCAUCUCUGGCAUUGGGGACACAGACAUGAAGGUGACACAGUCCCUACCCCCAGGAACUCCAGCAAUGAGAGAUGUAACACAUACCCGCAGUGAAGUGUGGUAACCACAAUCAUGUUAUGCAUAAUGGUAUCCAAGUAGGAUGACUGACUCUAUGAUGACGACUUUACUAGACAAUGUUGAGGAAAUCUGCACAAGAUUAAUGACAAAGAAAUCAUCAUUAGGAAACAAGGAACAGCUAAGAAGUGACUAGGCCUGGACCUGAAUCUAGGCAGCUGGUAAUCUUCACCAAUGACUAUGCUGACUUUCAUGAUAAUAGGAUGACUUGGGUAAUGAAGGGCCUGGAAGAAAUAUGGUGACUUUCAUUGUAA